RNAcentral lists this ribosomal RNA (116 nucleotides) under bacterium. The record is from RNAcentral. RNAcentral also lists the same sequence under 1 other name.
UUUGGUGACUAUAUCCGAGGGGAUACACCUCUUCCCAUUCCGAACAGAGCAGUUAAGCCCUCGAGAGCCGAUGAUACUUAGCCAGUCAGGUUUGGGAAAGUAGGUCGUCGCCAGGG